This 591-nucleotide unclassified non-coding RNA is filed under the name plant metagenome. Its description in RNAcentral is "partial contains small subunit ribosomal RNA and internal transcribed spacer 1". The record is from RNAcentral.
AAGUCGUAACAAGGUUUCCUUCCGGUUAAGAGACCUAACUACCGAAGCCUUACACAGCGACUCUAAAUCAACUGUGGAGUCUUACCAUAGGUGAAGACAAUACCGCUGAAAUGCUGUGAUCACGAAAAGUGUACCAGCAGCCUAAUCCAGGCCCACAGAUCAAGUGGCGGUGGUCUUAGCUACACAGCUUUAGACUAUAAUAUGACCGGUUCUUAUCCUCACGGUUAAGAGCUUUAACGUUCCGUAGGUGAACCUGCGGAAGGAUCAUUAAAGGUCAAUAUCCCCAUUUCAAAAGACCCAUUUCAGAUAUAUAUCUUUCCUGCGCCGGCUUCAGACGCCACCACCCCAACAUUCCCUUGCGGAAGCCCUCGACGAUGGGGUGUGGGUGUCUGGGGGCCGGCCAGGAAACCAGGAGUUCAAAAUCCGGGGGGGUUGGGGUGUCCUUUCAUCCUUUGUUUAACUACCAUGUUGCUUUGGCGGGCCCGUCUUUAACCGGACCGCCGGAGGUUAAAGCCUCUGGCCAGCGCUCGUCAGUAGCCCACAACAAAUUCUUUCAACCAUGUAUCUUCUGAAAAUAGUUAAUAAACUAAA